GUGGGGAAUCUUCCGCAAUGGACGAAAGUCUGACGGAGCGACGCCGCGUGAGUGAAGAAGGCCUUCGGGUCGUAAAGCUCUGUCAUCAGGGACGAACGGCCGGUGGAGUGGAAAGCCACCGGAUUGACGGUACCUGAGAGGGAAGCCACGGCUAACUACGUGCCAGCAGCCGCGGUAAUACGUAGGUGGCAAGCGUUGUCCGGAAUUAUUGGGCGUAAAGCGCGCGCAGGUGGGAUCUUAAGUCCAUUUUUAAAGUUCGGAGCUCAACUCCGUGAUGGGAUGGAAACUGGGAUUCUUGAGUGUCGGAGAGGAAAGUGGAAUUCCAAGUGUAGCGGUGAAAUGCGUAGAGAUUUGGAAGAACACCAGUGGCGAAGGCGACUUUCUGGACGAUGUCUGACGCUGAGGCGCGAAAGCUAGGGGAGCGAACGGGAUUAGAAACCCUGGUAGUCC
This 450-nucleotide ribosomal RNA is filed under the name uncultured bacterium. Its description in RNAcentral is "partial 16S ribosomal RNA". It matches the Rfam family "Bacterial small subunit ribosomal RNA", at positions 354 to 796 of the family's 1533-position model. The record is from RNAcentral.